AACCUUAUGGACCUGCGGGCGUAUACCUGCGGAAGGAUCAUUAACGCAUCUCUGGCGGCGAGGGUGCGCCCAGCUCCGGACCGAAAGGCCGUGCAGCGGGCUAUCCCGGACCGCUAAACCUUUGCAAACCCACUGUGCACUUUUGUCGGCAAAAGGGCCUUUGCGGGCCCCGAGCCGGAUCACAAACACUUUGUUAAACGAAUGCAAGCGGACAUUGAGCCGUCUAAACUUUAACAACUU
RNAcentral lists this unclassified non-coding RNA (240 nucleotides) under soil metagenome. Its description in RNAcentral is "partial contains 5.8S ribosomal RNA, internal transcribed spacer 2, and large subunit ribosomal RNA". The record is from RNAcentral.